Molecule: ribosomal RNA, 253 nt
Filed under: uncultured bacterium
Lineage: Bacteria
Description: partial 16S ribosomal RNA
Rfam family: Bacterial small subunit ribosomal RNA
Source: RNAcentral
UACGGAAUGUGCAAACGUUAUUCGGAAUCACUGGGUUUAAAGAGUCCGUAGGCGGCAUGUUAGGUGAGGUGUGAAAUCCCACGGCCCAACCGUGGAAUUGCGCUUCAAACCGGCGUGCUCGAGGAAGAUAGAGGUGGGCGGAACUGAUGGUGGAGCGGUGAAAUGCGUUGAUAUCAUCAGGAACACCGGAGGCGAAGGCGGCCCACUGGGUCUUUUCUGACGCUGAGGGACGAAAGCUAGGGGAGCGAACGGG